AUUGAACGCUGGCGGCAUGCCUUACACAUGCAAGUCGAACGGCAGCGGGCCCUUCGGGGUGCCGGCGAGUGGCGAACGGGUGAGUAAUGCAUCGGAACGUACCCGGGAGAGGGGGAUAACCGGCCGAAAGGCUGGCUAAUACCGCAUGAACUCGGAAGAGCAAAGCGGGGGACCUUCGGGCCUCGCGCUCUCGGAGCGGCCGAUGUCCGAUUAGGCUAGUUGGUGGGGUAAAGGCCCACCAAGGCGACGACCGGUAGCGGGUCUGAGAGGACGAUCCGCCACACUGGGACUGAGACACGGCCCAGACUCCUACGGGAGGCAGCAGUGGGGAAUCUUGGACAAUGGGCGCAAGCCUGAUCCAGCAAUGCCGCGUGGGUGAAGAAGGCCUUCGGGUUGUAAAGCCCUUUCGGCGGGGAAGAAAUCGGUCAGGCGAAUAGUCUGGCCGGAUGACGGUACCCGCAGAAGAAGCACCGGCUAACUACGUG
RNAcentral lists this ribosomal RNA (485 nucleotides) under uncultured bacterium. RNAcentral describes it as "partial 16S ribosomal RNA". It matches the Rfam family "Bacterial small subunit ribosomal RNA", at positions 28 to 507 of the family's 1533-position model. The record is from RNAcentral.